UACAGAGGGGGCGAGCGUUGUUCGGAAUCACUGGGCGUAAAGCGCACGUAGGCGGCUUUCUAAGUCAGGGGUGAAAUCCUGGAGCUCAACUCCAGAACUGCCUUUGAUACUGGAGAGCUUGAGUCCGGGAGAGGUGAGUGGAACUCCGAGUGUAGAGGUGAAAUUCGUAGAUAUUCGGAAGAACACCAGUGGCGAAGGCGGCUCACUGGCCCGGUACUGACGCUGAUGUGCGAAAGCGUGGGGAGCAAACAGG
Molecule: ribosomal RNA, 253 nt
Filed under: uncultured bacterium
Lineage: Bacteria
Description: partial 16S ribosomal RNA
Rfam family: Bacterial small subunit ribosomal RNA
Source: RNAcentral